CCUUUGCGACCCCAGUCCCGGCGGG
This 25-nucleotide ribosomal RNA is filed under the name Petrorhagia sp. B VMV-2010. RNAcentral describes it as "partial 28S ribosomal RNA". Lineage: Eukaryota; Viridiplantae; Streptophyta; Magnoliopsida; Caryophyllales; Caryophyllaceae. The record is from RNAcentral.